RNAcentral lists this long non-coding RNA (4301 nucleotides) under Brassica rapa (field mustard). RNAcentral's name for it is "long non-coding RNA (BRAP_LNC005636)". Lineage: Eukaryota; Viridiplantae; Streptophyta; Magnoliopsida; Brassicales; Brassicaceae. The record is from RNAcentral.
AAAAAAGAAAGAAAAUCCAGCUGAUCAUAUGAAAAAAACAAAAAUAUUCUGAAAAUCCAUCACAUGUAAAAUAUAUGCACCAAUGUUUCAAUAAAUUGUUCUCAAGGAAAAUCACCAGGAAAAUAACGAGUGUAAACCUUAUCAUCAAAGAAGAAAAACAAAACCAUUCAUGCAUGACUUGGGUGACAUGCCAGACAAAAAUUCCCAAAGGCAUAAGAGAAAACCCCCAAUCAACUCUUACAUUGUGUCUGCAAUAAGAGAUUAACUAAGGUGUUUCCCAAUGUACUACUGUGGCUACCCUAAACAUUUGUCAUCACAUAAGCAACCAAAACUGCUCUGAAAAAACAUUCUUUACAGAUUAUAGAGAUAUAAAUACAGUUGAUAUAUUUUCAUGUAAUCUAUUAUACGAGUCUACUAUAUCCCGUUAGGAUUAGGAUACAACUUCUUGUAUAAAUACUCUCUUUUGUGAAUCAAUAUACAAACACUUAUCCAUUCUAUUUCAUGGUAUCAGAGAAUGAAGAUUCUCAAACCUAAAAUCUCUUCUUUGAUUGUUUUUUUUCUCUACACCUAUAUAUAAUCGAUUAUAUCGAACAAGGCCUUUUUGUCUUCUGUUACAUCUAUUACCACUUCUCCCGUGAUGGAGAUCUCUUCUUUGGAUCCUCACUAUACAACAUAUAUUUAAAACCAAUGAUUAAAUAAUUUAUAAAAAACACAUACUUAUAAUUUUUAUUAUAAAGCAGAUAUAAACCUAAUCAUGUUCAAAAACAUAUUUUAAACAUUGUUAUAAUCUUACAAUAAUCAAAUACUAAUUAACUAGGUGUUUUGCCCACACAUGCGGACAUAAAAGUCUUACGAAUACUUAUUAAUUUUUGUUUUAUUGGAAAAAUAAUAGUAUAGAUUAACUGAAGUUAAUUUUUUUAACCACAAAAUAUUUUGAUUUAUCUUAGUAUAAAUAAAAUAUGGGAAAAAAAACAAACAGUUUGUUUUUCAUAAUAUAAUUAGUUUUUGGUAGGCCUUAGUUUUUUAACCAAACCAAACUUCCCAAACCAAACAAAAAUUUUGGUUAGGUCGUCCAGAAGUUUGGUUAAAUAUUGUAGGUUUUCUAAAAAAAUGUCGGUUUCAUUUCAGUUUGGUUCGACAAUCGGAUCUUCUUAAAAGAGUUAUAACUAUUCAAAACAUUUUUCGAAUAACUAACCGAAUUUAUAUAUAAUUUUAACAAAAUUAUACAGAUAUCUAACUGUAAAAAAACAUGUUGGUAGGAUUUUUAAAACCGAACUAACCGAAUACUGUACCAAACUUUGUUUCUUGUUAAUUCGGUAAUAUGUAUGUUGAACCGAACUAACCGAAAAUUGAACUACCAGAACUGAAUAUUCCGAAUUAACCAAACCCGCAUGCUAAGCUUUCGGUAUUGUUUUGAUAAAACCGGACCGAAGUACACAUCUUUCAUAAAAAAUAAAAAGUAAAUGUUAAUUAAAACCUCUUUAGAAAUUGCUGACACUUGGAUGACCAAAGUUUGACCACAUGAAAUUGUUACCAUUUAGGAAAUUUUGACCACAUAAAACUGUUACCAAAACGAAACGGUUGAUGUUUACUAUAAGAAGGCCACGCCUCCCUUCUAUUCAGCACAAACAUUACCUAGUUUCUUUUGAAGAAAACAGUUUUUCCUUUACAUCUAUAAAUAAAUUAUUCAUUACUUUAUUUAAAAUAUCCCAAAUUAUAUAAAUCUUACAUUACAUUAUUUGAAUUCCAAAUAGUUAUUCUGUUUUCAACGAUCUUUUGUUUUUAUGCGAUUUUUGUUAAUAUUUCAGGGUUUUCUCCCCAACGAAAAUGAGUGACUAUAGUCAAAACGACAAUGGUAUAAAACCGAUCAGCGAGACCUCUUCUUGAACCAGCUUAACAACUCCUCAGUCUGAACGAAGAUCUGGUGGUAUCGUUGAAAGAGUGUCUGCAAGGAUAGGAAGAGAUAUUCCACCACUGAAUAUGGAACACAUCAACCCGACUCUUGUUUGCUUUCCUGUUAGCGUAACAACUCCAGGAUUCAGUAGUCUCUCUCCAUCUUUGCAAUCUCCAAAUAUGUUUACUGACUCUUCUUCACAGGUAAGUAACAAUGUGUUUAAUAUAUUGAUCUCUACACAUUAUAUGUAUAUAUUAAUAUAUGAUAAAAACAAUUUUUUAUUGUCUUUGUGUAACUUAUGUUUCAAGAUUAUCCGUCCGAGUCCAAUCUCGAAUGAUGCGAUUCAGGAGAUGGUGGAAAGUUCAGGUGGCGCCCAUGCAACAAUGAUGAUAUCCAACAAGAAUCUUCCUCAUGAGCCAAUGGAAAUUGAUCUGUCUCCUCAAGGAUGUAAUAGAUUUAUAGUGUCUCGAACUGGCUUUCAGUUUUGAUUUUCCGAAUAAUAAUAUUGUUGUUAUUUACAGGUAAAAAAGGCAUUGCUGAUAUUCCAACGGAAGACUCUGUUGAUAUCACAUCUCAUGAAUCUAAUGCUGAUCCUGUUGGUGCUCCUUUACUCCCUUCUUUUGAUUCUGAAGUUGUUGCUGAAAAGGAUGCUAUGAACCUGAUCUCCCUUAAAAGUGGUAGCGAAGACGAUGGCAAGGACAAAUAAUACAACCAAGAGGAAGACAAAGACAAAGAUCACAACAUUGUUGAAUAAUAAUAAUAAUUAUAAUAAUAAUAAUAAUAAUAAUAACAAUAAUAAUAAUAAUAAUAAUAAUAAUUGAUAUAUUGAAAAAUAUGUUUGACCUGAAUUACAUGAUGUACACAAUCUUGUACUUAUCCCCGUCAUUAUGAUUCUAGUAUAGAUUUUGAAUUCUUGGUUUAGAAUAAUUAUCAAUAUAAAAAAUUUGAUAAAUAUAAGAAAUUUAGACCUGAGAAAUGAGGAGAGAGUUACUCAAGAGGACGAACAUCGCACCUGACUGCAACCUCGGGGUAGCUGGCUCUUCAAAGUAUCCUCUCAAACAUAUCCUAAGCUCUAUCGCAACCAAUUUAUCCACUUUGAUCUUUGUCUUUUCUCUCAUAUCCUUACAAACUUCUUCGGUACAUGUUGUAAACACAGCCUUGGAUCGAUUCUUUGCAUUAGGUAACGGAACUCCAGAUUUCACCGUAUAUAAAAUGAAUGAAAAACUGCUGUUACAAAUAAACCAUAUAAAUACUAAAUUGCUUUUAUGAAGAGUAACUGAUUUAGAACACUUACCAAGAUCAAUUUUCUCCCAAACAUCAUCAAGAAACAAAAUGAACCGUGUCUUAAUAUCUCAAUGAUCUUUGCAGCUUACUCUCUUUCCUGUCCAAAUCCUAUCUGAAAAUCCAGUCUUCUCCCUAGUUGGUCAGAUCUAGAAGAGUAAGUAGACCCUGAUUCUAGUUGUCAAGCUUGUGAUAUUGUUGUAGGGUUUUUCUGGCUGGUUAACUUGUUAAUAAGUUUACCUGAAUGAAUCUCAUAUCUCUGGUUUGAGUAGAUUCUAACAUUCACUACAGGUACAUAUAUAUAUAUGUGUUAAGUGAGUAAGAUAAAAAGUACAACACUGUCCAGUUCAGGAACUAAAAAAAAAAAGGUUCUUCCAUUCCUUUAUGGUUUGUGGUGGGUAACGAUUGUGCUUGAUUUAAUAAUUAUUUCACGUUUAAUAAAAUGAAUUUCUAUAACUUAUCAUAAUUGUAGAAGACAUGAACUUGCUGUUUAUAAUAGUUAAAAAAACAUACAUAUAUAAACAAAAAAUAUAUUAAAAACUAAAUUAGAAGUCAUUAAAGAAUACUCAGCUAGAAGUUAAAUAUACUCUAUAAAUGUGUUAUACCAUGCAUGCACAUAUAGGUUUCCCAUUUGUAUUGAUAUCAAAAAUAUCAUACCUGCAAUAGGGCCGGAUUAACUUUUAGAAAAAAACUUGUAAUGCCCUUCUCAAAAAUACAAAUUUGUGCCCUCGUUCUUCAUAUAAUGUUUUUAUAAUGCCCUAUAUACAACUAAACUUUUUUGUAAAAUUUGGGAUGUCCUAAGCGGCCGGUUCCUCUUUUUGUAAUUCGGACCAGGCUUGACCUGCAAAUAUUUGGUCACGGUAACAUCCAGCUAAUUUUAAUCUUAUAAAAAAAAGAAAGAAAAUCCAGCUGAUCAUAUGAAAAAAACAAAAAUAUUCUGCAAAUCCAUCACAUGUAAAAUAUACACACCAAUGUUUCAACAAAUUGUUCUCAAGAAAAAUCACCAGGAAAAUAACGAGUGUAAACCUUAUCAUCAAAGAAAAACAAAACAAAACCAUUCAUCCAUGACUUGGGUGACAUGCCGGACCAAAAUUCCUAAAGGCAUAAGAGAAAACCCCCAAUCAAC